UGAUCAAGCUCGCUUCAGCCGAGACUUUUUUUCUGGUUAUGCUAUAGGUGGCUUCGGUCGUUUAUAGUCUCUAGCCAGAUGAUUACCAUGAGCAAAUCAGAGUGUUUAAAGCAGGCUUUUAAGCUUGAAUGUGUUAGCAUGGAAUAAUGAAAUAUGACUUUAGUUCUUAUUUCGUUGGUUCAGGAACUUAAGUAAUGAUGAAUAGAAACGGUUGGGGGCAUUUGUAUUUGGUCGCUAGAGGUGAAAUUCUUGGAUUGACCGAAGACAAACUACUGCGAAAGCAUUUGACCCAGGACGUUUUCAUUGAUCAAGGUCUAAAGUUAAGGGAUCGAAGACGAUUAGAUACCGUCGUAGUCUUAACCACAAACUAUGCCGACUAGAGAUUGGGCUUGCUUAUUAUGACUAGCUCAGCAUCUUAGCGAAAGUAAAGUUUUUGGGUUCUGGGGGGAGUAUGGGACGCAAGGCUGAAACUUAAAGGAAUUGACGGAAGGGCACCACCAGGAGUGGAGCCUGCGGCUUAAUUUGACUCAACACGGGGAAACUCACCAGGUCCAGACAUAGUAAGGAUUGACAGAUUGAAAGCUCUUUCUGGAUUCUAUGGGUGGUGGUGCAUGGCCGUUCUUAGUUCGUGGAGUGAUUUGUCUGGUUAAUUCCGAUAACGAACGAGACCUUAUUCUGCUAAAUAGCUAGGCCAACUUUUUAGUUGGUUAAUAGAUUUAUCUAUCUGGCUUCUUAGAGAGACUAUCGG
This 748-nucleotide ribosomal RNA is filed under the name uncultured eukaryote. Its description in RNAcentral is "SSU rRNA". It matches the Rfam family "Eukaryotic small subunit ribosomal RNA", at positions 670 to 1426 of the family's 1831-position model. The record is from RNAcentral.